GUGGGAGGGGGCUUGCUCCCGAUGGCGGUGAGUCAGUUACAGAUGCAUUUACUGAUACACUCUCAUCGGGAGCAAGCCCCCUCCCAC
RNAcentral lists this unclassified non-coding RNA (87 nucleotides) under Pseudomonas synxantha. Lineage: Bacteria; Pseudomonadati; Pseudomonadota; Gammaproteobacteria; Pseudomonadales; Pseudomonadaceae. The record is from RNAcentral.